Transfer RNA from Cylindrobasidium torrendii FP15055 ss-10, 75 nucleotides. It matches the Rfam family "tRNA". Rfam says of the family: Transfer RNA (tRNA) molecules are approximately 80 nucleotides in length. Their secondary structure includes four short double-helical elements and three loops (D, anti-codon, and T loops). Lineage: Eukaryota; Fungi; Basidiomycota; Agaricomycetes; Agaricales; Physalacriaceae. The record is from Rfam.
GCAACCGUAGCUCAGCUCGUAGAGCAUCAAACAUGACAAACGUUUGAGACGCCUGUUCAAAUCAGGCCGGUUGUA